AGCGGCAGGCUUAACACAUGCAAGUCGAGGGGCAGCACGGGUAGCAAUACCUGGUGGCGACCGGCGCAAGGGUGGCGUAACGCGUGAGCAACAUGCCCUAUACAGGGGGAUAAUCCAGGGAAACUUGGUCUAAUAUCCCAUAGUAUUUAGAGGAGGCAUCUUCUAUAAAUUAAAGCUUCGGUGGUAUAGGAUUGGCUCGCGUGACAUUAGCUAGAUGGUGAGGUAACGGCUCACCAUGGCAAUGAUGUCUAGGGGUUCUGAGAGGAAGGCCCCCCCACACUGGGACUGAGACACGGCCCAGACUCCUACGGGAGGCAGCAGUGAGGAAUAUUGGACAAUGGAUGGAAAUCUGAUCCAGCCAUGCCGCGUGCAGGAAGACAGCCCUAUGGGUUGUAAACUGCUUUUAUAUGGGAGCAAUAAGGUCUACGUGUAGACUGAUGAGAGUACCAUAUGAAUAAGCAUCGGCUAACUCCGUG
RNAcentral lists this ribosomal RNA (476 nucleotides) under uncultured bacterium. RNAcentral's name for it is "bacterial SSU rRNA". It matches the Rfam family "Bacterial small subunit ribosomal RNA", at positions 39 to 507 of the family's 1533-position model. The record is from RNAcentral.